Molecule: ribosomal RNA, 253 nt
Filed under: uncultured bacterium
Lineage: Bacteria
Description: partial 16S ribosomal RNA
Rfam family: Bacterial small subunit ribosomal RNA
Source: RNAcentral
UACGUAGGUGGCAAGCGUUGUCCGGAUUUACUGGGCGUAAAGAGCGCGCAGGCGGUCGAAUAAGUCGAAUGUGAAAGCCCCCGGCUCAACUGGGGAGGGUCAUUCGAUACUGCUCGACUUGAAGGCAGGAGAGGGUAGUGGAAUUCCCGGUGUAGUGGUGAAAUGCGUAGAGAUCAGGAGGAACACCGGUGGCGAAGGCGGCCCACUGGGCAGUCACUGACGCUGAGGCGCGAAAGCUCGGGGAGCGAACGGG